RNAcentral lists this ribosomal RNA (471 nucleotides) under uncultured bacterium. Its description in RNAcentral is "bacterial SSU rRNA". It matches the Rfam family "Bacterial small subunit ribosomal RNA", at positions 8 to 507 of the family's 1533-position model. The record is from RNAcentral.
AGAGUUUGAUCAUGGCUCAGGAUGAACGCUGGCGGCGUGCCUAACACAUGCAAGUCGAGCGAUUCUCUUCGGAGAAGAGCGGCGGACGGGUGAGUAACGCUGGGUAACCUGCCCUGUACACACGGAUAACAUACCGAAAGGUAUGCUAAUACGAGAUAAUAUACUUUUAUCGCAUGGUAGAAGUAUCAAAGCUCCGGCGGUACAGGAUGGACCCGCGUCUGAUUAGCUAGUUGGUAAGGUAACGGCUUACCAAGGCGACGAUCAGUAGCCGACCUGAGAGGGUGAUCGGCCACAUUGGAACUGAGACACGGUCCAAACUCCUACGGGAGGCAGCAGUGGGGAAUAUUGCACAAUGGGCGAAAGCCUGAUGCAGCAACGCCGCGUGAGCGAUGAAGGCCUUCGGGUCGUAAAGCUCUGUCCUCAAGGAAGAUAAUGACGGUACUUGAGGAGGAAGCCCCGGCUAACUACGUG